GACGAACGCUGGCGGCGUGCUUAACACAUGCAAGUCGAACGGAAAGGCCCCUUUGGGGGUACUCGAGUGGCGAACGGGUGGGUAACACGUGAGUAACCUGCCCUUGACUUCGGGAUAACUUCAGGAAACUGGGGCUAAUACCGGCUAGGAAUCCUUGCUGCAUGGUGGGGGUUGGAAAGCUUCGGCGGUUUUGGGUGGACUCGCGGCUUAUCAGCUUGUUGGUGGGGUAGUGGGUUACCAAGGCUUUGACGGGUAGCCGGCCUGGGAGGGCGACCGGCCACAUUGGGACUUGGAUACGGCCCAGACUCCUACGGGAGGCAGCAGGGGGGAAUAUUGCCAAAUGGGCGGGAGCCUGAUGCAGCAACGCCGCGUGCGGGAUGACGGCCUUCGGGUUGUAAACCGCUUUCAGCAGGGGCGAAGCUUGUGGUGACGGUACCUGCAGAAGAAGCACCGGCUAACUACGUG
RNAcentral lists this ribosomal RNA (465 nucleotides) under uncultured bacterium. RNAcentral's name for it is "partial 16S ribosomal RNA". It matches the Rfam family "Bacterial small subunit ribosomal RNA", at positions 28 to 507 of the family's 1533-position model. The record is from RNAcentral.